GACGAACGCUGGCGGCGUGCUUAACACAUGCAAGUCGAACGGAAAGGCCCUGCUUGCCGGGUACUCGAGUGGCGAACGAGUGAGUAACACGUGGGUGAUCUGCCCUGCACUUCGGGAUAAGCCUGGGAAACUGGGUCUAAUACCGGAUAGGAGCCAUUUUUAGUGUGAUGGUUGGAAAGUUUUUUCGGUGUAGGAUGAGCUCGCGGCCUAUCAGCUUGUUGGUGGGGUAAUGGCCUACCAAGGCGGCGACGGGUAGCCGGCCUGAGAGGGUGGACGGCCACAUUGGGACUGAGAUACGGCCCAGACUCCUACGGGAGGCAGCAGUGGGGAAGAUUGCACAAUGGGCGCAAGCCUGAUGCAGCGACGCCGCGUGGGGGAGGACGGCCUUCGGGUUGUAAACUCCUUUCGCUAGGGACGAAGCUUUUUGUGACGGUACCUAGAGAAGAAGCACCGGCUAACUACGUG
RNAcentral lists this ribosomal RNA (465 nucleotides) under uncultured bacterium. RNAcentral describes it as "partial 16S ribosomal RNA". It matches the Rfam family "Bacterial small subunit ribosomal RNA", at positions 28 to 507 of the family's 1533-position model. The record is from RNAcentral.